This is a small nucleolar RNA of Macaca fascicularis (crab-eating macaque), 87 nucleotides long. The record is from Ensembl. Lineage: Eukaryota; Metazoa; Chordata; Mammalia; Primates; Cercopithecidae.
AUCCUUUUGUGGUUCAUAAGCAUGCUAUUGUGUGAGAUGUACCUCCUUCAAAUCUUGUUGCAAUGUUGUCACGUUACCAAUCUGAUG